Molecule: ribosomal RNA, 464 nt
Filed under: uncultured bacterium
Lineage: Bacteria
Description: partial 16S ribosomal RNA
Rfam family: Bacterial small subunit ribosomal RNA
Source: RNAcentral
ACGCACGCUGGCGGCGUGCUUAACCCAUGCAAGUCGAACGGAAAGGCCCCUUUGGGGGUACUCGAGUGGCGAACGGGUGAGUAACACGUGAGUAACCUGCCCUUGACUUCGGGAUAACUUCAGGAAACUGGGGCUAAUACCGGAUAGGAAUCCUUGCUGCAUGGGGGGGGUUGGAAAGCUUCGGCGGUUUUGGAUGGACUCGCGGCUUAUCAGCUUGUUGGUGGGGUAGUGGCUUACCAAGGCUUUGACGGGUAGCCGGCCUGAGAGGGCGACCGGCCACAUUGGGACUGAGAUACGGCCCAGACUCCUACGGGAGGCAGCAGUGGGGAAUAUUGCACAAUGGGCGGAAGCCUGAUGCAGCAACGCCGCGUGCGGGAUGACGGCCUUCGGGUUGUAAACCGCUUUCAGCAGGGGCGAAGCUUGUGGUGACGGUACCUGCAGAAGAAGCACCGGCUAACUACGUG